RNAcentral lists this ribosomal RNA (460 nucleotides) under uncultured bacterium. Its description in RNAcentral is "partial 16S ribosomal RNA". It matches the Rfam family "Bacterial small subunit ribosomal RNA", at positions 338 to 795 of the family's 1533-position model. The record is from RNAcentral.
CCUACGGGAGGCAGCAGUGAGGAAUAUUGGUCAAUGGACGAGAGUCUGAACCAGCCAAGUAGCGUGAAGGAUGACUGCCCUAUGGGUUGUAAACUUCUUUUAUAAAGGAAUAAAACGAGGCACGUGUGCCUUUUUGUAUGUACUUUAUGAAUAAGGAUCGGCUAACUCCGUGCCAGCAGCCGCGGUAAUACGGAGGAUCCGAGCGUUAUCCGGAUUUAUUGGGUUUAAAGGGAGCGUAGAUGGGUUGUUAAGUCAGUUGUGAAAGUUUGCGGCUCAACCGUAAAAUUGCAAUUGAUACUGGGUGUCUUGAGUGCAGUUGAGGUAGGCGGAAAUCGUGGUGUAGCGGUGAAAUGCUUAGAUAUUAAGAAGAACCCCGAAUGCGAAGGCAGAUUACUAAACUGUAAAUGACACUGAUGCUCGAAAGUGUGGGUAUCAAACAGGAUUAGAUACCCCAGUAGUC